This 74-nucleotide transfer RNA is filed under the name Candidatus Gottesmanbacteria bacterium RIFCSPLOWO2_01_FULL_48_11. RNAcentral's name for it is "tRNA-Trp". It matches the Rfam family "tRNA". From Rfam's summary of the family: Transfer RNA (tRNA) molecules are approximately 80 nucleotides in length. The record is from RNAcentral. Lineage: Bacteria; Candidatus Gottesmaniibacteriota.
AGGGCCGUAGGUUAACGGUAGACCAGAGCUCUCCAAAAGCUCUAGUGGGGGUUCGAUUCCCUCCGGCCCUGCUA